GAAGGAUCAUUACUGUGAUUUACUACUACACUGCGUGAGCGGAACGAAAACAACAACACCUAAAAUGUGGAAUAUAGCAUAUAGUCGACAAGAGAAAUCUACGAAAAACAAACAAAACUUUCAACAACGGAUCUCUUGGUUCUCGCAUCGAUGAAGAGCGCAGCGAAAUGCGAUACCUAGUGUGAAUUGCAGCCGUCGUGAAUCAUCGAGUUCUUGAACGCACAUUGCGCCCCUCGGCAUUCCGGGGGGCAUGCCUGUUUGAGCGUCGUUUCCAUCUUGCGCGUGCGCAGAGUUGGGGGAGCGGAGCGGACGACGUGUAAAGAGCGUCGGAGCUGCGACUCGCCUGAAAGGGAGCGAAGCUGGCCGAGCGAACUAGACUUUUUUCAGGGACGCUUGGCGGCCGAGAGCGAGUGUUGCGAGACAACAAAAAGCUCGACCUCAAAUCAGGUAGGAAUACCCGCUGAACUUAA
This 470-nucleotide ribosomal RNA is filed under the name Pichia kudriavzevii. Its description in RNAcentral is "eukaryotic LSU rRNA". The stretch from base 116 to 268 matches the Rfam family "5.8S ribosomal RNA". The record is from RNAcentral. Lineage: Eukaryota; Fungi; Ascomycota; Pichiomycetes; Pichiales; Pichiaceae.